UACGUAGGCAGCGAGCGUUGUUCGGAGUCACUGGGCGUAAAGAGUGCGUAGGCGGUUUUCUAAGUUUGGUGUGAAAUCUCCCGGCUUAACUGGGAGGGUGCGCCGAAAACUGGAAGGCUUGAGUAUGGGAGAGGUAAGCGGAAUUCCUGGUGUAGCGGUGAAAUGCGUAGAUAUCAGGAGGAACACCUGCGGUGUAGACGGCUUACUGGACCAUAACUGACGCUGAGGCACGAAAGCGUGGGUAGCAAACAGG
Molecule: ribosomal RNA, 253 nt
Filed under: uncultured bacterium
Lineage: Bacteria
Description: partial 16S ribosomal RNA
Rfam family: Bacterial small subunit ribosomal RNA
Source: RNAcentral